RNAcentral lists this ribosomal RNA (1301 nucleotides) under metagenome. RNAcentral describes it as "bacterial LSU rRNA". It matches the Rfam family "Bacterial large subunit ribosomal RNA", at positions 1635 to 2925 of the family's 2925-position model. The record is from RNAcentral.
UACACGACCGUACCGCAAACCGACACUGGUGCGCGAGAUGAGUAUUCUAAGGCGCUUGAGAGAACUCAGGAGAAGGAACUCGGCAAAUUGACACCGUAACUUCGGAAGAAGGUGUGCCUUUAGUAGGUGAAGGGAUUUACUCCUAGAGCCCAAUGAGGUUGCAAAAAAUCGGUGGCUGCGACUGUUUAUUAAAAACACAGCACUCUGCAAACACGAAAGUGGACGUAUAGGGUGUGACGCCUGCCCGGUGCUGGAAGAUUAAAUGAUGGGGUGCAAGCUCUUGAUUGAAGUCCCAGUAAACGGCGGCCGUAACGAUAACGGUCCUAAGGUAGCGAAAUUCCUUGUCGGGUAAGUUCCGACCUGCACGAAUGGCGUAACGAUGGCCACACUGUCUCCUCCUGAGACUCAGCGAAGUUGAAAUGUUUGUGAUGAUGCAAUCUCCCCGCGGAAAGACGGAAAGACCCCAUGAACCUUUACUGUAGCUUUGUAUUGGACUUUGAACAGAUCUGUGUAGGAUAGGUGGGAGGCUUUGAAGUAGGGUCGCUAGAUCUUAUGGAGCCAACGUUGAAAUACCACCCUGGUGUGUUUGAGGUUCUAACCUAGGUCCAUUAUCUGGAUCGGGGACAGUGCAUGGUAGGCAGUUUGACUGGGGCGGUCUCCUCCCAAAGCGUAACGGAGGAGUUCGAAGGUACGCUAGUUACGGUCGGACAUCGUGACGAUAGUGCAAUGGCAUAAGCGUGCUUAACUGCGAGACUGACAAGUCGAGCAGAUGCGAAAGCAGGACAUAGUGAUCCGGUGGUUCUGUAUGGAAGGGCCAUCGCUCAACGGAUAAAAGGUACUCUGGGGAUAACAGGCUGAUACCGCCCAAGAGUUCAUAUCGACGGCGGUGUUUGGCACCUCGAUGUCGGCUCAUCUCAUCCUGGGGCUGUAGCCGGUCCCAAGGGUAUGGCUGUUCGCCAUUUAAAGAGGUACGUGAGCUGGGUUUAAAACGUCGUGAGACAGUUUGGUCCCUAUCUUCCGUGGGCGCUGCAGAUUUGAGGAAGCCUGCUCCUAGUACGAGAGGACCGGAGUGGACACACCUCUGGUGUAUCGGUUGUCACGCCAGUGGCAUUGCCGAGUAGCUAAGUGUGGAAGAGAUAACCGCUGGAAGCAUCUAAGCGGGAAACUCGUUUCAAGAUGAGAUCUGCCGGGGCCUUGAGCCCCCUAAAGAGUCGUUCAAGACCAGGACGUUGAUAGGUCGGGUGUGGAAGCGCAGUAAUGCGUUAAGCUAACCGAUACUAAUUGCUCGUGCGGCUUGACCU